Molecule: long non-coding RNA, 3925 nt
Filed under: Canis lupus familiaris (dog)
Lineage: Eukaryota; Metazoa; Chordata; Mammalia; Carnivora; Canidae
Description: lncRNA (ENSCAFG00030019385.1)
Source: RNAcentral
AUGUGGGCCCCCCACCCCCGCCCGGCGCCCGGCAUUCCGGAGUGGGGGGGGGGGGCACUGCGCGCGGACGGAGCAGAGGGACCGGCCGCCCGGGGCACCGCAAACGGGGACCCAGGCCCACAGCUACUCCAGACUUUCUCUGAGAGGCCCGGUGGCCCCGGGCUUCUCCUUGCACCGACCCAGCUCGUGGCUGGGAGAGGCAACGCCUGGCCCGGCCCCCUGAGUCCGGACGGAUUUUUCCUGCCCCUCGUAAGGGCGUCCAGGACAGCGGCGCGGGCUGCGCGGGGUCAGGGCGCGCUCGCCUCCCGGAGCCCCCGGCCCGCCAGGGGGCGCUACGCCAGGGGGCUGGAGGUGGGACCCGCCGCUGCCUCCCGCGCCGUGGGACUUGGAGCAAGUCCCCUCCUCUUCCUGGGCCCGGGUGUCCCCGUCUGGGCGUGGGAUGAGGCGCAGAGUAAGCGCCCUCUCGGUGCGGAUCGUUCUAGAGGACGUCGCUUGCCGCGGUCAGGCCCGAACUGCUCGACCCUCCGCUCCGGACCAGCGCGGAGCCCCCUUGGGGCCAGGCGCGCAGGGGGCCUGUGUCAAGGCGCAGUCCUCGGGAGACACGAGCUGUCCCUCCUCCCCCCGCUGCGGCCAAGGCCCAGGCUACCCCGCUGGCAGCUGGCGAGAGAGGUGGCCGCCCGGGCUGUGCACCGUGAGCUCGGCAGCCGCACCCCGCUCAACAGGUGGCUGUACGGCUCGGGCUCUGAAAGUCCUCGGAAACGCCGCAGCGAGGGCGGCCGAGUCCGAGUCCAGCCGGCGGGGCCGCGCCGGGCCUCCCGUCCUGGGACGAACGCGCGCUGGGCCGGGAGCGGGCACCGCGCUCGGGGCAGCGUCCACGCCGCGCGCAAGGUCGGCGCGGGCCGGGCCUGCAGCCUCGGGCCGCGCAGCUGGCAGGGCCGACCCUGCGAGCCGGGGACGCCGAGCGACCGCUUCAAGGUUACCUGCGACGCGAGGCUAGGCCGGGCCCACAACCCGGCUUUGACCCCAGCCGGGAGUCUUGCGAAAUCUGCCUGCUCCGCUGCGAACGAUGCGCCGGGUGACCCGCGAGACGGGUUAUUUUGGAAGUGGGAAGGGUGGGGUGGGAGAAGCCAGGGCACCUCCCGCCACCCCUCUGGAGCCGCACCCUGGGAGCCUGAGCACCCUCGGGGGCAUGGAGACACCUCCGCACUAGGAGGUGGGCAAUGUGGGGCUCCUGCGCGGGCUCAGCCAGAUGUUCGCGGCGGCUCCAGAUGUGCCUCCGGUCCCGGGACAGGACUCUCCUCCUCCCCACCCCCCAGCCCGGAGCUCAGUUCCGUUUGGGAGGAAGCUGUGCUGUUCCGGAAGAGACGCCAGGCCUUCCCAGUCUCCGGUUUAAGGCUGUCUUCCAGGAUCUGCUGUCAAGGCUUAUUCCUCAGGGAAUAGCUGUUGGCAAAAGGAGCCUUUCCGGGCCCAGAGCUGGUCUCCGCACCGAGGUGGCCCCAGGGACGUGGAGGAGAGCAGGCAAGCUGCGUGUGGACGGCCGGCUCCCAGCACGCUCUGCGCCGGGGCAAAGGCCGUGGGCUCCGCCACAGACACCCUGCCAGGCUGGGACGGCCACCAUCCACCCGACAGAUGGCCAGGAGGAGGUGCCAGGUCACACAGCCCCCGAACGGCCGAACUGGGGCUCCAGCCCACCUCUGCCGGAGCCCACACUUUCCCUACAGUGGGCCGGGACGUUCCCAGAACACCAAGAUGGUGUAUACUGUGGAUUUAAAGCCUCAUGAACGGCGAGGGCCUGUGGGCUGCCCCGGGGUUUCAGGAACCGAGGCCACCUUGGCCACUAACUCACUCCUCCAUCUUGACGACGCAGCAGAUUUUACAUUUACAAAACGUGGAUCGUCCUCUCGACUGCAGGUGAGGGAAUAGCGUGCGCCCUCGUGGCGUCCUCAGCUGUGCCGGGAACACACCCUGGGAGCCCGACGGCUGCUGGAGAUGGUCUCUGGGCCACCCGUUAGCCUGAGAUUCCAGGGCUCUGCCGCUUGCUAGCUGCGGGACCGGCAAGUAACUCCACCUCUCUGGCCUCCAUCCCCUCACCCGCGAAAUGGGGAUAAGAUCGCUUCCGCUCUCAUGGAGUGCUGAACUUAAGUGAGUUAAUAUUUGUAAAGGGCUCCGAAGGACGGCUGGCAUAGGGUGCACACCGCGUGUGUGCCAGCGCACGGUGGGCUGUCCCGGGAGACUGGCGUUAGAAUUGUCCCUGAAGUGCAGGUGUGGAAACGGAGGCAGCAGUACAGUGACUCUCAAACUUAGCGUGAAUCGGAAUCACCCGGAGGGUUCGUGCAAAUGCUAAACACUGGGCUGGGGCCUGAGAGUGUGCAGUUCUCGCGUGUUUCCAGGAGGGGCUGGUGCUGCGGGUCCAGCGGCCGCGCCGUGAAAGCCUGCGCUGGGGCUCUAGUGCGCUGGGCCCGCCGCGCAGCAGCUCCACGAGUGAUCUGGCGUGAGUGAGCGAGCGGUUACAGAGAACAGGCCGGGCGGAGGGCCAGGAGCCUUGGGGUUCUAGUCCUGAAUUUGCUCCUAACUCCCUGGGGGACUUAACCGAGUCCUCUUUCCCCUGCAGCCUUGGUUUUCUCCUGGGGACCUCAGGGGUGACGGUAAUCCCGGCUCACAGGGCUCUGUGAGGAAGAAACAGGGCCUGGUGUCACUGUGACACUCGCUGCAGGAAUGGUGAGAGGGGUCUAGGAGGAGGUGUGGGACCCCAGGGGCUCACUACCAUCCUUCCCUGCCUGCCUUCUCCUCUCCCCACACCGAGGGCUGUAGCUCAUCCCCUUUACUUCUUUCUGGAAGCUGAGUUGGGAAGACGGAGGCCACACUGUCCCCCACUGUCCCCCACGCCCCAGGGCGGCUCGGCAGAGGGCAGCGUGCUUGCUGUGGCCGCAGGCUGCAUAAAGGGGCCUGUGUUCCGGCCGCUCACCUCCCACUGUGCGCCCAGUGGUUUUCUAUUUCAGUUGCUGUAAAAAUAUCACCUUUGAUCUCAGCUUGUGGCUCUUAAAAAAAGAAGGAACCACCAACAGGCUGGGUUUUCAUUCUCCCGGGCCCCUUCUCCCUCUCACCUCCGCUCCUCACUCACCUCCUCACCUCUCUUUUGCUCCCCAUGCAUCCUCUCCUCUCUGGAGCACCAGCACCCUAGCUGGACAGAGCACCUUAGCAAUCAGCCCAUGGUUCUGAGUGCUCCCCCCAACCGCCACCCCCACCCCCAGCAAGUCCCUGUCCCCAGCUGUUUGCUGGAGGGACAGGGUAAAAGGCUGUGUGUGAAGGAGACUGCCCCUUCCCCUCUGCUCCUGCUGCCAACAAUGUCCACGAUUCCCUGUUUGGCCAGGCCCAGGCUGCUUCUCCAGCCACACUGUCAAACACAUAGUAUGAAUCACAGCCCUGCUGGGGUUUUCCCCACAGUAGAGUGAGAACAACUAGCGGGGCCAGAAUAUUUAUAUCGCACCAUCUACUCAGCCCAGACAGUCACCCAGAUUUGCCUGGAAGAGUAACCCUCAGGCCUGAUGGAUCUAAUAUCCCACCUCCGGGCUCAGCCAGCACAAAGACACCCCCCCCCACACACACACACAUACACCCUUGCCUCUUUCCUCUCUACAAACUUGGGCAUUUGUACCCACAGUUCACCAUCCAUGUUCAUCCCCCAGACUCUGGCCUCUACUCUGGCCUUCCUGAGGAGCCCUUCUCCGACCUCAUUGGUAGGAGCACGCAUGUGUACAAGGGGCAGACGACUGGGAUGGCAGGGAGUGCAGGAGCUGGUGGCACUGGCAUUGAGUGGGUGGUGCUGGAGCAGAAAGGGCAAAGGUUGGAAUUUACAGGAACCUGGGGCAUCCUCGAUAGCAUGGGCAGCUUUGGAUGUAGCCAUGGCCUGGGUGUUCAAAGCGAG